CGCUGUGCCGUGGAUUGUCCCUUAAAUGCGAGGCUGAGUAGGAGCAGAUUCCAUAUUGGCAUAUCUGUCAAUACAACCUUUGGGAUUGGGCCUUUGGACACCUUUUCUAUCAACUGGCUUCUCGCGAUUUCUUAGCCACCUCAUUCUCUUCCCGUGACCUCUUACUGAUUUGGGGAUGGAGCCUUGGGGAAAUGUUUUACAGAUGGAGGAUAUGAAGGUGCUGAAAAACACACAUUGCUGUUUCUCAAUGCUGCCAGAAGCUUGAAAAUGCCCAACAACCCGGAAAAGGCGACGUGGAGUCCAGAAGCCAAAUUGACAAGCUAAAGAAGCAGAGUGGGUUUUUGGCUGCCAAGCUUAUCAAGCCUAGGGACUCCAAUACAGCAGAGCACGAGAUGGUGGUUACUUUGGAAGAGAACAGUAAUGAAAAUCCUGGAGGAGACACCCUGGUCAGCCCUGGGGAGCAAACAGACCCUUACAGCUAUGCACUUCCCUGACCCAUGCUUUAAAGAGCAAGGUGGAG
RNAcentral lists this long non-coding RNA (520 nucleotides) under Chelonoidis abingdonii (Abingdon island giant tortoise). RNAcentral's name for it is "lncRNA (ENSCABG00000005366.1)". Lineage: Eukaryota; Metazoa; Chordata; Testudines; Testudinidae. The record is from RNAcentral.